AGAGUUUGAUCAUGGCUCAGAUUGAACGCUGGCGGCAUGCCUUACACAUGCAAGUCGAACGGCAGCACGGGAGCAAUCCUGGUGGCGAGUGGCGAACGGGUGAGUAAUACAUCGGAACGUGCCCAAUCGUGGGGGAUAACGCAGCGAAAGCUGUGCUAAUACCGCAUACGAUCUACGGAUGAAAGCAGGGGACCGCAAGGCCUUGCGCGAAUGGAGCGGCCGAUGGCAGAUUAGGUAGUUGGUGAGGUAAAGGCUCACCAAGCCUUCGAUCUGUAGCUGGUCUGAGAGGACGACCAGCCACACUGGGACUGAGACACGGCCCAGACUCCUACGGGAGGCAGCAGUGGGGAAUUUUGGACAAUGGGCGCAAGCCUGAUCCAGCCAUGCCGCGUGCAGGAUGAAGGCCUUCGGGUUGUAAACUGCUUUUGUACGGAACGAAAAGGUUCUUUCUAAUAAAGAGAGCUCAUGACGGUACCGUAAGAAUAAGCACCGGCUAACUACGUGCCAGCAGCCGCGGUAAUACGUAGGGUGCAAGCGUUAAUCGGAAUUACUGGGCGUAAAGCGUGCGCAGGCGGUUAUGUAAGACAGUUGUGAAAUCCCCGGGCUCAACCUGGGAACUGCAUCUGUGACUGCAUAGCUAGAGUACGGUAGAGGGGGAUGGAAUUCCGCGUAGCAGUGAAAUGCGUAGAUAUGCGGAGGAACACCGAUGGCGAAGGCAAUCCCCUGGACCUGUACUGACGCUCAUGCACGAAAGCGUGGGGAGCAAACAGGAUUAGAUACCCUAGUAGUCC
RNAcentral lists this ribosomal RNA (791 nucleotides) under uncultured bacterium. RNAcentral's name for it is "bacterial SSU rRNA". It matches the Rfam family "Bacterial small subunit ribosomal RNA", at positions 8 to 796 of the family's 1533-position model. The record is from RNAcentral.